This is a non-coding RNA of Desmophyllum pertusum, 82 nucleotides long. NCBI's taxonomy places the organism in Eukaryota, Metazoa, Cnidaria, Anthozoa, Scleractinia, Caryophylliidae. The record is from the annotation of a GenBank genome assembly.
GAGACAGUGGCCUAAUGGUUAGAGUGUUGGACUCCAGAUCGAGCGGUUUGAGUUUGAGACAUUUAACUCUCACAGUGCCUCU